GUACACGCUGUGACUAGCACAUCAAUAAGCGGAGGAAAAGAAACUAACAAGGAUUCCCCUAGUAACGGCGAGUGAAGCGGGAAGAGCUCAAAUUUGAAAUCUUAAAGGGUUUCCCUUUACGAAUUGUAGUUUAAAGAAGUGUUUUCUGUUGAGGUUUUGGUAAAAGUUCUUUGGAAUAGGACAUCAUAGAGGGUGAGAAUCCCGUAUUUGACCUUUACUUUCAACUUUGUGAUACACUUUCAAAGAGUCGGAUUGUUUGGGAAUGCAGUCCAAAAUGGGUGGUAAAUUUCAUCUAAAGCUAAAUAUUGGCGAGAGACCGAUAGCGAACAAGUACCGUGAGGGAAAGAUGAAAAGAACUUUGAAAAGAGAGUUAAACAGUACGUGAAAUUGUCAAAAGGGAAGCGUUUGACACCAGUGUUGUUUUUCUGAAAAUCAAUUAAAGAACUGUUUAUGCUAAGUUGUUUAGACUUUAUCAGCUAUCUGUUUAGUUUUGAGCUUUUCUUUAAUGCACUUUUCAGUUAACAAGUCAACAUCAAUUUCUUUUGCUGCUAAAAAAGCUUGAGGAAGGUGGCUUGAGAUUCGUCUUAAGUGUUUAUAGCCUCUUGCCUAUGCAGUCGGAGAGAUUGAGGUCUGCAGCGUAGAUCCUUCGGGGCUAAAUGCAUUUGUGCUAAGUUAUAGCAUUUUAUAGACAACUUGUUGACUAUGAUUUGUCUUGUAGCUUACUCGCUUAUGUUAUUUUACCUACGCUUAGGAUGUUGAGUCGUAGAGCACGCAG
Molecule: ribosomal RNA, 775 nt
Filed under: uncultured Neocallimastigales
Lineage: Eukaryota; Fungi; Neocallimastigomycota; Neocallimastigomycetes; Neocallimastigales
Description: partial large subunit ribosomal RNA
Rfam family: Eukaryotic large subunit ribosomal RNA
Source: RNAcentral